UAAUGAAGGCCAGGCUGACAAGAUCUCAGA
RNAcentral lists this non-coding RNA (30 nucleotides) under Homo sapiens (human). Lineage: Eukaryota; Metazoa; Chordata; Mammalia; Primates; Hominidae. The record is from RNAcentral.